RNAcentral lists this non-coding RNA (21 nucleotides) under Arabidopsis thaliana (thale cress). Lineage: Eukaryota; Viridiplantae; Streptophyta; Magnoliopsida; Brassicales; Brassicaceae. The record is from RNAcentral.
UGUGUUUUAGGUGAAUUGUUC